RNA transcript from Carcharodon carcharias (great white shark), 1604 nucleotides. It is a transcript of the gene named CTD nuclear envelope phosphatase 1 regulatory subunit 1, with no coding region annotated. Lineage: Eukaryota; Metazoa; Chordata; Chondrichthyes; Lamniformes; Lamnidae. The transcript has 7 exons. The record is from RefSeq and is a predicted model, not a curated record.
GGGCCAAUCAGCCGUGGCCUUUGGGAGGGGAAGAAACGGGAGGCUCACACGGUGACCGGACGCCGUGGGGGGAGCGGCUGGAGAUUUGUGAUGAUGAAUUCUCUGGAACAAGCUGAAGAUCUCAAGGCUUUCGAGAGGAGGCUGACCGAGUACAUCUCGUGUUUACAGCCGGCGACGGGACGGUGGCGAAUGAUUCUCAUAGUUGUUUCGGUAUGUACUGCCACAGGUGCCUGGAAUUGGUUAAUAGAUCCUGAAACACAGAAGGUAUCUUUUUUCACAUCGCUAUGGAAUCAUCCAUUCUUCACCAUCAGCUGUAUAACCCUUAUUGGUUUAUUCUUUGCCGGAAUACAUAAAAGAGUGGUUGCACCAUCAAUCAUAGCUGCAAGAUGUCGAACUGUUUUGGCAGAGUACAAUAUGUCUUGUGAUGAUCACCCCCCUUUCUAUUGGUCGCAACAAGAUUUAAUCUAAAAAGGAUCCCUUUCACGGAUAUCUUCUUCCCAGACCCAAUCGUUCCGGUUUUGAAGGAGCCAAUUUAAUCAGACUUUCUUGAGUUCAAGACUGGAAAACUAAUAUUAAAACCCAGGCCCCAUGUCCAAUGAUGAAUCUACGUGCCAGUUCUGUGGCUCUUUGGAAAAAGUGGAAGUAAUUUCAAAUGCAACACUGCACAAAUGCACUGAUGCAAUGUUCCUUUUGGUGUCAACAUCGUUAUGUUCAGCUAGCUAAAGCUCCCUAACGCAGAAAAAAUCUUCAGCAACAGAAGUGCAUUUUAUGAGAAAUCUAAUGUUGCAACCAACGGGAUUUUGGAUAACUUGGUAUAAAAUACAACAUUGAACUUGUAUUUAAAUCUUGCCAGGUGAAUUUAAUUUAUUAGAAAGUUUGGGUUCUUAUAUUUUAACUUCUGGGUUGGACCGCUCAUUUUAUUAUUGAUAAGCUUUUGUAACCAUUUUGUGACUCUGACUCAAAAAGUACAACAUCAAGGAUUUAAAAACUGUGACCGAUUCUCAUUGUGAAUUGGGCUGAACUGUAUCAGGACUGAUCCAACAAGAUUGCUAAACCAUUAUUGCAUGCCUUUAUUCUAAUCCAUUACUUUUCCUCCAUACAGAUGCUUUUUUUUAUAUAUAUAUAUAUAAAGUUAUGAGAAUGUUCGGCUGAGUUAUUUUUACUGUUCACCAAUUCGAUUUAUGAGGCAUUUGUAUCCUUAUUCCAUUUAGACUGGAGAUGAAUUAGAAAUGGAUCCCCAGUGCUUUGGGUGAGAACUUGAACCCUUCAAUCUGCCAAAUUGUGUUGUGUACAAAUCUAUUUAUAGGAAGAGAUAACUUGUUUCAUUUGAAUUGCAAACUAUUGCAUAUAAAGAUUCUAAUUUUACUUCUCAAUUAUGCAGCCUUGUAUAACCAUGUAGAAAUGAACUUUUCAAUCUUACAGUUAUGUUCACUUGCAUUGCAAUUCUAGGACCUAUUGCAGUUCCACUUCCGCCUCUUUGUAUUUUAAUGACUUGAAUGAUUUAAACUUUUAAAUUUUAAAAGCAUCAUGACUUUGUAAAUGUUUUCCAGGCACUUGAAUUUUGUAGGCCUGUGUACAUAGCAAUAAACAAUUUAUAUGGAAAA